AAAAAAUCAGGAAAAUGUUUAAAUUUUCAAGGUUAAUAACGUUUUUGUGGGAAUUUUUCAUUUUGUAUAUAUAUAGCCAUUAUAUAAUGUCAGAGUUGAAUUUCUUGUUUUAAUAUAAAAACAUGAAAGGCUUGCAAGGUGUAAAGUCAAAUUCUACAAAAAUUAGUUCAUUCGGUAUAUAUAUUGCAUGAUCCUUGUGUCACAAAAGUUAACACAAAAUUUCAAAAGAAAAGCAAAACAGUUUGUAUAUAUUAUAUAUAUCAUUUAUAUAAAUGGAAAGUCACUCCAGCCUUCCCUGUACAUAUUUUUACCAUAUCUAAUUGUAAAACACCAUGCAAAUCCUUCCCCCAGUCCUAAAUCUAUCCUUGAAUAUUAUAAAUACGUUCUUAAGGUGUUGUAGCUUUUUUUACUUUCUUAUUUAGGCUUAAAAGGUCAAAUAAGUUGCAGCCAUAUUCCUAGCAAAGACCACUCAGAUAAACUACAGUACCUAGCUACAUGUAUAAGCAACAUAAAACUGACAGGUUAGCUAGGUAUACUGGGAAUCUUUAGUUUAAAGCUAACAUUAGCUGGCUACAGCGGCCAAUAGCUGGUCACUUAAAUAUAAACUAGAAACUUAGCUAGGUAUAAAGAACACGGCUACAUAUAUAUACAUUCCUAGCUAGCUAGCUAGUUGUUGGUGGUGGUUGGCUUUUUAUGAUGCUAGCUGUAAAACAUGUCUGGCAUCAAUAAUAUCAUCAAAACUGAAACAAAACAUGAAAAAAACUUACAGAACCCUCUAUGAUUAAUUUAUAAAACCAUGCUCUUCUUCAAAUGUUUUUUUAAAUAUUUAUUUUGAAUGAAAGAGUAGAGAAUACUCAAAAUGAACAAUUUUAUUCGUAAACACAAUUUCCGUUUUAUGCUAGGAACUUCAUUUAACAGUCCGUAUGCUUUGUGAAUAUCUAAUACCGUUUCAUAUGUAGCGAUAUGCUCAUAUAGAUUUUUUGGCAUAAGGGCAUAUAUAUUUAUAUCGUUAUUAGCAGCGGGUUAUAUAUUUACACCUUAUGUGCAAUUUCUAUGAAGUACAUGCCUAACUUUUUUAGUUAAAUUUUAACGUACAGCCAUGUCAUAAGAAAGUGACCCGUGAUUUCCGUGUCGUGGACUCACAGUUUUACUCACGCAAGGGAAUUAAUAUAUAAGAUCCAAUUAAUAAAGACAUUACAAUGCAAACUUUGAGGCCAAAUAACGUGGAAACGAGGUGGUGACGUCAAUGAUUUUUCACCGCGAGGGUAACUAGGGAUAUUAAGUUAAUGAAGCCAUUACAAUGCAUUUAAAACUUCGAGGUCAAAUAACUUGGAAAUGAGGUGGUGACGUCAAUGAUUUUUUACCGCGUGGCUAAGUUUCCCAAACCCGGCUCUCGGAAUCCGUUUCGGAUUGAACUGGUUGAUGACGCCAUCAAAAAAACUUUAAACCCCAAUAUCUCUGCAACCGUUUGUCAAAGGUACAUGAUCCUAUACAUUUUCUUUAUCAGCGUUUUGAGAUCUCUAAAAUCAAUUUUUUUGUGUUUUGACAAAAUUUUAAACACUUAUAUAUCCUUAGGCGUUCGUCGAAAACAUAUGUUCCUAUACAUUAUUUUGAUCAGCGUUUAAACCUCUACACAUUACAAAAAAUAUACUAAAUUUCGCUAUUUUUUUUGGAUCUGCACUCCUGACGUCAUCCGAACAUCUAAAACAACCUAUUUUUCCAUUCUCUUUCUGCCUAAAUGGAUGUCUUCACGGGUCUUAUCGACUAGUCUAUAUAAUAAUACGGAGCUUCUGUCUGUCUGGGUGUGUGUGACUUUUACAAAGACGAUAUUUUUUACCACCCAUAUGCGCAAAUUUGUCGAUUUUUUUUUUGUUUACAUUUGUCUCGCAACCGUUAGAAACCACAUGAUAGAAAAUAGUUAGUAUGAUUUGCUCAAAUACAUACUUUCGAAGGGAAGGCAUUCGAAUAGAAAGUUCUCGUGGCGUAAAAACAAAUAAAAAAGUUUCUCGACAACGUUCUCGACAAAGGCGAACUAAAAAAGCGGAUAAAAAAUGUCUCAUUUUUGACGACCCCUUAGUCAUAAAAAAGUGCAGAUAUUAAAAGCAAAGAAAAGUUAAAAUAGAGAAGUAGAGUGGAUUAGUAGAAGUAGAGUGGAUUAAAAAAGCAUAUAAUUUGGAACAGGGUUACCAUCGACACACAAAAAACAACAAAAGAACGGUGCUUUCGUCUUGAAAAAAGUGCCAAAAGUGAAAAGGUAAAGUGUUUAAAAAAGAAUAUAUGAAAAAGAAAGAAAAGUCCAAGUGAAGAAAUAGAAGUAAAAGUAGAAAAGUGAAGUUGGAAGCCACAAUAAGUUACUUCGGAAGUGAAGAGUAGAGCUAGAAGUAGUAGAGUAAAGUUAGAAGUAGAAAAUGAAUGCUAGAGUUUCAAGUUCAAGUAACUUGGAAUUCAGAAAAAGUAAGAACUUUGAUAUUUUUAAACGUUCCGUUUUUGUAUGUAGGACACUUAAAAUUGUUAAGGAGAAUCGUAUUCUCAAAAAAAUCCAUUAGAGCUUUAAAUUCUUAAAGAUUUAUAUUUUACCGCGUUUUUUAAAUAAUAAAAAAGCUAGCUAUAUUUGUUUACAUUCUUUUGCAUAAUUGAUGUGUCCCCUGGUGCGUAGCUAAUGUAUUUGUCCUAAAAUUCAAAAUGCUACAUAAAGUUGUUAGCUAGCUACCAAACAAAUGUGCUAACGAAAUAGAAAAUUUUGGUUUGUUGGACUAACUGCAAAUGUCAUAAUUUUUACAUUGCUUUUGUUUUCCUUUAUAUGUGUUUUACUAAGCAUGAAUAGCUAACUAUAGACGUAGUUAAGUCUCCCCAGCUUAAGUUUAUUUAACUGGGUGUCCUAGCUACUGUUAGCUAGCUAAAUGUUAGCUUCAAGGCUCCAUCCCAUAGUUAGCUCUAACCUAUGAGUUAUGUUGUUAUUCCUCUCUUUUCAAGUAUUUAUAGCUACCUUAGUAGUCAAACUUUUCUUCUUUUUUAAACACGAAUUAUGAUGUAACAAGCUAGCUACAAAAUCUUUCUUGAACUUUUAGGAUAGUGUGACUCAUUGUUGUCCCCAUAGAGUAAACUUUUGUCAGCCUACGUGUAAAAUGCUAAGUUAUUUUUACAGGGGUUAUUGACAUUAGAUUGGAAAUUUACGUGGGUUUAUGACUCUGGGUUAAAAAAAUUUAUGAGAGGAUUGUAUUGUUGUCCGUUUAUAUUGUGUGUGUAGCAAAGUGCUGUUAUUUGAAAUUUUUUGUAAACUUUUAUGGAAAUAGACCACAUGCAAUAUACUAAAAGAACAAAUUUUUGUAGAAUUACACUUUAAGCUGUUGUGUAAGCUGAUGUCUUUUUUUAUUUCGUAUUAUAAACUUUUGUGAGGUAAAAGUAUGUGAUGUCAUUUUUACUGGAUGAAAAUUUCAUGGUUUCACGUUUUUGUUUUUGUUGAGAAUUUUACAAAAUUUUGUAUUAAUAAUUGUUUGGUGAUAACAAAAAAAUUACUGAAUGUUCUCACUAAAACUGUUUCUGUUUUUUUAUAUUUUGUAAGGACUGUAUGCACUGAAAUGACUGAUUUAUCUAUAAUUUGAUGUGUUUCAUAACCUUUUUGUGGAAAAUUUAUGGGUAAUGGCAAUAUAUAACAUGCUGAAUGAACUGGUUUUUGUUGAUUUUUUUGUUUCUUUAAAGACAAUCUUAUUUUACAUUUUGUGUAAACUUUUGUAAGAAUUAACCAUAUACAAUGUUUUCCAAAAUAAUGAUCUUUGUUUAUUUCAAAUUAACUCCUUGCUCAUUGUUUUUUUGACACUUCAGUUUAAAAUGUUUAGUAAAGGGCAGUACGGAUCAUCAGACAAAAAUUUCCAGGUUAGGAUGUUAUGCAAUCAAAUAAAUGAUUUUUCGAGAUUUGAAUUUGAUGUUUUCUAAACUAUGGCUUUUUGAUAUUGUUGUAUAAGCAUUUAGGAAAAAGACAAUGUUUAAAAUGUUUAAAGAGCUUAUUUUCAUAGAUAUGUGCCUUUUCUCGCAAGCCUUUCUUUUUGACACUUCAGAUUAAAAUAUUGAAGGUUUUCAACAUAAUCACAUAAGAUGCUGUGACUGUCGGUAUUGUAACUGCAAGUGUUGUUACUGUCGGUUUUGUGAGUGUUGUUGUUGUAAAUUUAUAUCAACUAUAUUUUACACCUUACAAGCUGUUUUUCUUUGCAUUUUGUGUAAGUUUUUGUGUGUGUGAUUUAAUGUGAUUUGACAUUGUGUGAGAUUUUAAGAACAUUUUUGCUAAAUUAGGAAUUACACCUUCGACACAUACUUUUUAACAUUUUAUAUUUAUUUUUUUGGUAAAGGGCAGUGUGCAAUAUACUAAAUUUGCUGAUAUCAAUAAAAUUAUAUGACAGAUCUUUCCCAUUGUCCUUCCUUCUGCCUAAGUGGAGUUUAGCCUUAUCGACUAGUAUAAUAUAAAAGUUUUAUAUAUUAUUUAGUUGUAUAUGAUAUAUGUAAUACAUGUAUAAAAUAAUAAUUAAAUGUCUUUACUCAGAAAAAAUCUAGAAGCCAGAAAAUUAAAAUUAAAAUGUUGCCAAUUUAGGUAGCAUUUCUCUUUCCAUAGUUUCUGGUCGAACUGAAUGGUUGGUACGAAUAAACGUUUUUUAGUUUAAAUAAUAAAAUCAAGUUCAGUGAGGUCACAUUGGUAAAAAUACUGAUGCUUCAGUUUUAGUUCUGGUUUACCAUUUACCAUUGCAGAAAAAUUUUUUUGUCGGUGCAACAUUUUUUAAUAUUAAACUAGAAGCUGAACAGUUUGAGACGGGAGAGCAACGCCUUUGAAAGUAUUGUUGUUAUGCUUAAAAGAAAUAUUUUGGAAUAGAAAACUGAAACUGUCUUUGUCAAGUAAUAGACGCAUAGUAUCAUUCCAUUUAAAUCAUAAGAUAGAAAAAAUUUCACGAAUCUAAUAGUUCUUAGUCAGGCGAUUAUAUCCGUAAAUGGUGCUAUCUUCUAACAAAAUAUUAUACUCCCUGAACCAUAUUUUAACUUUAUCCAUAAAAUCACACAAUUACUUUUAAAAAUCACAAGUCAAAACGUAUAUUAUAUAAAAAAGAUUCAUUUUACUAACAUGUUUUCAAAUUUAUGGUCGAAAAUAGUGCUAAUGGUUUGUGUUUAUAAAACAUAUAAAACUUCAAAAAGUUGUCUUAAAAAACAAAACAAUAAAUCAAAUGUUUGUGUUAACAAAAGAAACUAUUUCAAAUUUUGUGCUAAACUAAAUGGAAAUAGAUGUAAAUAGUGUAAAUCAAUAAGAAGUCUAAAACAUAAGAAUCAUAAGAGAAGAGAAUAACAAAAGAAAAUAUGCUGUGUUUAAAAAAUACAACUUUAAUAAAAAACUAAUGCUCUGACAUAGAUGUAAUAACAUUCUUAUCGUUGUAUUCAUAAUCAAUGUUUUCCAAAUAAAGGAUUUUUUCCUUUAGUUCGUCCAUAUUGUUUUUUCCUAUUUGAAUAAUAUCUAUUUUAAAAAAAGAUUCCAGAACAGCAAGUGGCAAUACCAGUGUAUGUUUGUUAAAACAUAUUUGCAAUAAAAAAAACGAAGUUUUAUCACUAAGCAUUGUGUGUUUGCAAUGUGGGCAUGUAACUAUUUUGACUCUAGGCUGAAGAACCACAGACUUUUGGCAGUUUGUACACGCAGGGUAGAGUUCAAGCUCUAAAUUCAUUUACGAUUUUUGUUGUCAUUUCAUCUGACAGAUAUGUUUGAUAUCUAACAGGGCUCAAAAUCGGUGAAGUAUCGUUGGAAUCUGUAACCGAAAAUGUGGUCAUUUUUGUAGUCGACAGUUUCUGUCCAUAAAAGUUCCUUAGACUAAGAAUUGUGAUACUGUAUUCCUUUUUCUCAAUAACAGAAUCAAUUAAAUCAUUCCACACUGUCAACUUUAUGUCUCCUGUUUCGUCAUAAAGAACCACCUCACGUAGAGGCAAUUCUCCAUUUGAAGCUGUUACCAUUAUUGAUUCUUUGAGCCAUUUUAACGAUCCAACAACAUCAUAGGUUCCAACGUUUUGACACAGGAUUUCUUUUAUUGGUGUAACUGCACUAGAAUCAUACGAGAAUGUCAUCUGAUUCGAAGUUUGAAUCCUGCUUCCCCGGAAAGAAUUGAACAAAAAAGUUCCUGUGGUGGAAGAAGGUGAAAGGUUUGAAAACUGCACUGGUUGCGAUGAAGACUUGUAACCUGUUAACAAUCAAAUUGGAUUUUGAGUUUUUCAUGAUUCGAAUAAUUGCAUUUUCCGUUUCCGUGGUUUUCAUCAAAACAUCAAUGAAUUCAUUACCAGAUUUAGAUACAUUUGAGUUAACCGUUACUAUGUAACCAUGAAUAUCUGUAAUAUAAUGUACCAAAAAAAAUUGAAAUGCAAAUAAAGCUCUGGUCAUCAAAUAGCAGAAUGUAGAUUUCUUAAUUAUACGUACAAAUGUAUUUGUGUUAUGUCUAAGCAAAACAGUAAAAUUAUAUUUAAGUUUUAGAGGGACUUGUAUUAAAACAGAUUAACAGUUUUUGAUUUGAUUGCUAAAACAAUGACAAUGAGUAAUAUAAUAAUUACUUUGAAUUAUUAAAUAUAAAUCAUACCAAUUAGAGUUGGAGAAGGAGAACUUUUAAAUCGUUUAUUUGGAGAUGGCGACAUUGGUGGAGAGAAUCCAGUGAAGAGCUUUGUUGGAGUCAAGGGUGGUGAUUUCAGGUCAUUUGAGCUUCAUUGGAGUGACUGAUUUGGAUGAACUUUUAGUAUCAGGAGAGAGAUUGCUGUUUUUGAGAUGAGCUGCAUUUAAUAGAACAAGCAAAACAUUUAAAACAGUUUUAAAACAUUGUAUUACGUAUAUGAAAAGUUAAAAUUUUACAUGAAGACGGGAUGGAAUUGAGCAAUAACGAAAAUAAAUAAAAAUAAUAAUGAAAAAGAAAGAAAGAAAAGAAAAGAAAGUAAAACUUACAUGUAGAUUGAGAAUGUGUCGGCUGUUGCUGCUCGAAUUCCAAAGGAUUUUUUGUUCUCGAUUUUUUCCCUUUAUAUUUAAGUGAUUGUUUCUCUUUUUUAUUCAUUUUUACUUUAAAUCUAACAUUGGAAAUAUAUAAAUAUAUAUCUUAUGACAAAUCCUCCAAAAGCUAUCAAAUCACGUGGCAAAUUUUGACGGGAUUUACGAAAAUUAGAACUUAACCAAAACUUUUCCCCUUAAAACACUGUACAAUUUAUGGCAUCAUAAAAUUCAAAAAAUCGUUACUUUGACAGAAUUAUGUUGUGAAAAAAAGACUUUCUCAACUUCAGCCUCCACCCUAUAUUUUGAAAAAAGUGAUUGUUUAACGUAAACAUGAGUUGGUCUUUCAAUUAAUUGGUCAUACAAAUUUAAGACAUUUCUCAAAUUUUCAUUUGGUUGAAUAUUAAAGUCACCUACAAUUAAAUCAAUAUCAUGUGUGCUGGUUAAAUAUCUCAAAAGGUCGUAAAACUCAGGAAUCAAAGUGUUGUUUUUCCUAUAAAGAAGCAUUACUGUCAAUUCAAAUGUUCCAACAUUUGUUUUGAAAAUUGAAAAACCAUUUCCAUCAAAUUCACGAACCAAAUCUAUUUUAUCUUUAUAAUAAACAGCCAGACCUAGAAAUCUAUCCUCAUUGUUAUUUAAAAUAUAAUUAAAAUUGUCUAUAUGAACAUCUUCGCUUGUUAAUUGGGUUUCAGUACAAAGGAAUGAUGUCAGUAUUUGUAAAUGAUGAAUCAGAUCUUAUAUCAACGAUAUGUCUACUUAAAGAUUGUACAUUACAAAUUUUGAAUUCUAAAAACAUAUUAUUUUCUAAUUGAUCUUUAUCAUUUAGACUUUCUAAUAUUUGUUCUUCUCUAAGAUAAUCAUAUUCUGUUUUUACCCUUUCAUCUACUACUAUAACUUUUUUAUCAAAUUUGCCUGUUAAAAACAAUCCCUCUAAUGAAGUUACACGACUUAAUCCUACAUAAAAUUGACCUGGAUUAAAUGACCUUUGUUUUAAUAAAUCACAACUUAAACGAUUUGAUCCAAACUAAGACCUUGAACUUUGUGUACUGUACAUCCCCACGAUAAUGUCAAAGGAAAUUAAGUUCUUUUAAUAGCUGGUGCACUAUGACGCUUUGCAUUUGUUCUAAUAUGAAGUGUUACUCUUUCAAUAGGAACAGCACCAAAAUGUCUUCCUAAUUGACUCUGCUUUUUUUUAAGUCCAGCUUUAGGAUCAUCAAACUUAAUGAUAAUAGCUUCAACUUUCUCAUUCUUGUAAUGAAUGUGCAUAAUAGUUCCAAUUUGCCCGUUAUUUAGAUUGUCAGAUAAAUCAACGUUGCUUGUAAGCAUAGUUCUGGCCCCUAUUUUUACUUUUAGAUGAAAAAUUAAACCUUUAGUUUGACUCAAAGACAUGUUCAAAAUUCUAUCGUAUAUAUGAUUUGGAACAGAAUUUGGUACUUGGUCUAUAGCUUCAAUUGUUAGAACAGUUUGAUCGAUCAUUUCCAACAUUGUCUGAUUAUGUACCCGUGCUGGUUCAUUUUCUGCAAAAAUAUGUAAGGCAUCUACAGGGUAAUUGUCAUCUGUUUUAUCAAUAACCCUUGAGCCUAAAACAUUGAUAUCACUCUCACUUAAUUCACCAAUACGAACAUUAUUCAGUAAAUCAAUAAAUGAAGAAUCUUCUCUUUGUCUCAUGACCUCAGUCAAUUCACAAAAUUUGAAAGUUCUCCACAGAUGAUGUAUAUUCAAUAUUUCAUCAUAGUAGUCAGCAUAUAUUGGUUUUUGGAGAACUGGAGAAAGUUGAUAAAGAUCACCAACAAAAGUCAUUGUAAUCCCAGCAAAUGGAACCGAACUGUUUUCAGCAUAGCCAAAAAUACUCGGAUGAACAUAUAGCAUUAGUUUAUUAGAUACCAUUGAAAUCUCAUCAAUUAUUAUCAUCUUCAGUUCCUCAUAUUUGAUUCUCAAAGCACAUCUUUUUUUAUCAGACAAUUUGGGCACAUGCAUUCCUCUACAUUCAACUGGGAAUCCUAAUCUUGAAUGAAUUGUUGUUCCUGAAAUAUUAAUAGCAGCUACACCAGUUGGGGCUAAUAACAAAACUUUGGGUUUCUCAACAGAUGAAGUUCUGAAAUUUAAUGUUUUAGAAACGGAUGAAUAUAAUGUUUUAAUCAAAAAACCUUUUCCAGUACCUGCAUUUCCUGUAACAAAGAGUCUUAAUGGUGGAAUUUUCAAGGUACUGUCAGCAGGUCUGUUUUGUACACUUUGCCUUGCCCAUCUAAUAACAACAUAUCGCUCUUUGUUUUGGGUUUAAUUGAGAAAUCAUUAAUUUUAUUUCUUCGUUAGAAAAAGAUAAAUUUUCAGAAACUAAGUAGGAAAAUUUUCACUGACUUGAAAAUCAACAAUAUUUUUUUCAUCUUCAGAAUCACAAGCUUCUUCAACUAAAUUUUCUUGCAAAUCAUCAUUUUCUUGCUCAGCAAAACUAUCAGUUGUUCUAGAGUGAGACGUAAAGUGAACUAAUGAAUCCUCAACUAGAUUGCCAAAUGGUUCAAAUUUUUUCCUGUUCUGAUUUACAAUAGCUAAUACAUCUGGUUGGUUUAAUUUUAUCGAAAAACUCUUUUCUUCGCUUGACAAAAGUUCUUGUUCGUGUCUAAAUGGGUAAAAUAGCAUUAGUAAGUGAUGUGCAUGUUCUUCGGGUUUCAAAGUAGCACUUGGAGUGUAAUAACAUAGAAUUUUUUUAACCGAACGACAUCUCAUCUUAUCUUUUGAUUUCAUCAAUGGGAUAAUUUUAGGGUAUGAUAGAGGACCUUCAAUAUUAUCAUCAACAAGUACUUCAGGUUGACUAUCAUUGUCUUCCCGAGGUUUAGUUUCAAUGACAAAAAAUGCUAGAAAUUCUGCAUAACAAAUUUCAUCUAAAACACUAAAUUUUCCUCCUUUUAAAUUUUUAUCUGGGCGCUCCAUGUAUCUAUCUAAAUUGUUUUUUGUUUGAAAACAUCAGUACUAUGCUCUGGAAGUUGAGACAACUCAUUUUUAGAUUUACAAACUUUGUAUCUCUUUUCAGGCAAGUUAGAAUUAGCAAAUGUUACAACAGGAAGCGUUUUUCUCAACCAAAGUUCUGGCAUUAGCUGAUAAACUGCUUCUUGUAGAGAACAUUGCGGGUGUGUCAAAAAAGCUAUUGCCAAUUUUUUCAUUCAUCUUUAUAAGAAAGGUUUUCAGAUUCAUUUGCUGCAUUUUUCAUUGCUACAGAAGAUUCAGUUUCACAUUAAGAAAAAUACGAACACAUAUAGGUUACAGCUUUGUAAUUGUUAAAAACAGGCUGUAUAUCAAUAUUCGCCUCCCAAGCUUGUAAACCGGUUGUAAAAUAAUUAUUUACGAAACACGAAUUUGGCGGUCUAAAAAUAUGAAUUUCAAAGUCAGUAUCGGGGGAAAUAGACAAAGCCCAAUAGUAAUCAUUUUCUGUAAUUCCUAAUGCAUCCAAAAUAUCAGAUAUAAAACUUUCUUUAUAAGAUGGCCUGUGUGGAUCAAGGUAUUCAUCAAUAUACAACUUAACUUCCUUUAAUAUUGAUUGCCGUUUGUUAAGUAUCUCUAAUUUUUCAUUUUCUGGAAGUUCAUCAUUGAGAGGUUCAGCACAAAUUGUUCUAUUAGUAAAAUACCUGCCAUAACGGAAGCGACAAGGAAUAUUCUUAUAUUUUCUACAAGAUCGUGAAUGGCAAUGUGAUUGAUAUUUGCUAACUAAUUGAUUAAGCUCAGGCUCAGUGUCUUUAUCAGGCAAAUCUACUCUAACAAUAGAAUCAAUAAAAUCAAUAUAUUCUUGUUUGGUUUCUCUUGUUAACAAAGGAGCAUCUUUUACCCAUAUAAAGCAAUGUACAUGAGGUGAACCUCGAAACUGAAAUUUAACUUUUAUUGCAUAGUUUUCUACAUUUCCUAAAGGACUGUUUUUGUGGAUAAUGAUUUCCUUAAAAAAUGUUUCAACUCUAUAUUGAAAGUAUCUAGCCACUAACACAGGGUUACUAUUCAAAAUUUCACAUUUUUGAAAGUAGUCGAUUUCACUGUUUUCAUCUAAGUUUAAGCCGUUUAAUCUAGAAAUAAUUAGAAUCAACUCCUUUCCAGCGCAAGUCAGCACAAGAUAACGUAGGAAAAAUUAUUGGUAGUCCCAAUUGUUUAACCAUUGCAAGAACAUCAUGUAAAAAGUUUUUCCAGUAUGCAGGAGGACCUUUAAUAGCUUUCAUGAAAGAAUAACCCUUAUCUUCAUAAACAAUUGAACGAACUGUUUCAUUUAAAUUAUUAUUUAAUUGACCAGCAUUUAUGCUUCCCUUUACCUUUGUCGUAGCAAUAUUUAUCUGGUUAAAUAAAUUGACCUGUUGCAAUAUAUAGUGGGCAAAAAAAAUGUAGUCACCAUUGGAAGAUAACCUUUAAGUAUAAUUAAGUAGUCGCUGAUUGAAUAAAUUGGAAAGGAGACAACGAGACUUCUCUUGUUACUUUAUAACCAAAUCUACCUUUAGGUAAGAGAAAUGGAAAUGCCUGUUCUUCACAAAAUUGGUCAUUGAAAAAUGAUUCAGGGGUUUUGUUUUGACCUGGAGCUAUAUCUAACACAUUUUGUGAAUUGUCAUAAAUAUUCGGAAUAACACACAUUUCAUUACUAUUUGUUCGUUCUAAAUCUAAAGAAUUGUUACCUUCUAAAUGCUCAUCGUUUUCAUUCUCAACAACAAUUUCAAAUUCACCUUUUUCUACAAUACUUUCUAUAUCAGAUAAGCAAAGAAGAUCUCGAUUAAUAUUAUCUAAAUUGAUAAAAACGUUAGAAUAAAAACGAUUAUGUUCCUUCAGAUAGUUCAAAGCUAUUUCAACAAAACACGGACGAACACUUUCAAAAUAAACAUGCCCUUUAAAUUCGAUUUUUCUUUUCAACUUAACUAGUACAACUCCAUCAUUGGCAGCAGAUCUAGGUAAAACAUUUGAAACUGCAUCAGCUUGAAUUGGAAUAUUGCAUACAGCACCUCUAAUUUUUGAAUUCUUUUUGAGAUUAAGGUUUUUUCUAGACGAUUCAAACGUUCCAAAAUGUCUGGAAUGGGAUCUAGCAUUAAUUUAUUGACUACAGCUUGUGGAGGAGUAUUGUUUAUUUAAGAUGUUUAUCACAAGUAAUGCAGACAUAUUUACAUUGGUCAAAGCUUUCAAUUUCAUGGAAUAAGUGUAAGAUGCUUGAUAUUGUGUGGAGACAAAUUUCUUCACAGACUUUUUAUAAAGACAUCUAUGACAAACAACACAUAUAUAAUAUGAUCCUUCCUGAAUAGCAUUUUUGAAAACAGAUACUAUCGAAACAUUAAGAUUUUUUUUGCUUUACGUUUUCUACAUUUUGCUUUUUCAGUUUCUGUUCGUUUUCGUUCUCUACAUUUUGCUUUUUCAGUUUCUGUUUGUUUUCGUUCUCUACAUUUUGCUUUUUCAGUUUCCGUUUGUUUACGUUUUCUACAUUUUUCUUUUUCAGUUUCGGUUUGUUUACGUUUUCUACAUUUUUCUUUUUCAGUUUCGGUUUGUUUACGUUUUCUACUUUUUUCUUUUUGAAUUUCGGAUUGAUUGCGUUUUCUACUUUUUUCUUUUUGAAUUUCGGAUUGAUUGCGUUUUCUACAUUUUUCUUUUACAGUUUCAGAUUUUUUUCUUAGUUCUAAUCUGUAAGUUAAUUUAGCAUCAAAAUUAGGUGCAUUAUCGAACUGAAUCUUUAUAUAUUGAACAGCAAAACAUACAUAUUCUUCAUUAACAUCUAUAAAAUACGUUUCUGAAAUGUGUUGUUCUAAAGAUUUUCUAGAGGAAAAUUUUAAUAAAACUGAAAAACCAUCAGGAAUAAUUUCUCCAUUAAUGUUACGACUAUGUGAGUCAAACAAAAAGUAAUGUCUAGAAUUCCAAGUGACUGACAUUGUUAAGCCCCUUAAAGUAAAUAAAAAACCUGAAGUAUCUAUUGGAAUGUCCUGGAAUGAAAAAGACAAAUGCAAAUUGGUUAUGUAAACAGGGUGAACACGAUACUCUUGGAAAACAGCCUUAAAAUUUGUAGAGUUUUUGAACAUAAACUGUGUAGGUAAUUCAUCCAUAACAACAUAACCAAUUUUUAAACUUUUGUAAAUCGCAUCACCAUUUUCUAGAAUAAAAUCCAUAUCUUUACUAUUCCAAGUACCUUGGAUUUUAAUCAAAGUAAACGCAGCUAAAGAUAAUGCAUUACAAGUACAUUGCCUACCAGCUGUUAUUCCAAAUCUCUCGUUUCCUUGAUUGUAAGAACCUUGAGCUGACUUUAAAAUGUUUCCUUGCAACGACAUGUUAUAUAAAUGUUAGAAUUAACUUUGUUACUUUAUAAAUUUAACUUGUGAUUAUUGUAAAUUACUUUUUGUGACUUGUUGUUCCCAGAUAGUCUUUAUCUGGGCUAAAAGAAACACUUGACCGUCUUGUGACAAAUGUUGUUCCCAGAUAGUCUUUAUCUGAGCUAUAAACACCAGCUAGUCUUUAGCCAAUGUUGUUCCUAGAUAGUCUUUAUCUGGGCUAAAAGAAACAUUUGACCGUCUUGUGACAAAUGUUGUUCCCAGAUAGUCUUUAUCUGAGCUAGGAAACACUUGACCGUCCUUUGACAAAUGUUGUUCCCAGAUAGUCUUUAUCUGAGCAAAUUUCAAGCAAAAUAAAAUUUUCUCAAUUCCCAGUGGAAAGAGAGAACAAAUUAAAAAAAUAAAAAUAUGAGAAAUUGGUUUUGAUUUCAAAGAUUCAGAAAGAUUUGACAAUACAAUCUUGACUUCUAUUCUAGUGAAAAAUUGAAGAAAUUCUGAGGCUUCAAUUCUUCGUCAGCCGGCAAAAUCUGUACCAAAAAUUCAUACGCCCUUACUUCCGCCCGACCGCCUGCCGAAUUUCGCGUAGGAGGAGGAGGAGGAGUCGCAGCUGAAAUUAAAACGGGAUACGCUACGCUCUCUCUUCACUCGAAAAAAAUCUAGGAGCCAGAAAAUCAAAAUAAAAUGUUGUCAACUUUAGCUUCAGAAAUAAUACCAUCUGUACUAAAACCCAACCAAGGCCAUCUUAAAUUAUUAAUAAGACCACACUUUUUUAUUUCAUUGUUUUUAUAUUUUUUAAAGCAAUGCUUUCGCUCGCCUUUCUCAAUUUACAGGCUUUUAAAAUACAGUUUAACAACCGAUUUAAAAACGAAUCAGAUGGAGUACCACUUCUACGAUUCAUAACAAUACCAAAAUUUGAGGCCAUUAUAUUAGGUAAUGUAAUGUAAUGUAAUGCCAUGGGGAACUGCUUAAAUUAUUAGGCCCAGGACUCUUGCGUAAAGCCGAGAAUACUGGACACCAAUGAAUGGUCACACGUCACAUCGUGCAGGAAGUCUGAGAGCUCUCCACAGCUCGCGGUCUAAAAUACUUGUUUAUAGUCCAGGAGAAAAGAACUUUAGGACUCAUUUUCUACAAAAGAUUUGACCCUCCAAAUAGGUUGGUAGUAUCAUGGACAAUAAAAAUCACAUGGUCAGCUCACCCAAUUUGGGGUUUUUUCGGUUCCAGACCCCUAAAAUUACCCUAAUUCGAGACUCCUAUUCGGUCCCCUAAUUCUCAAAGCUUAAAAGUUGGUAACAUGUCUCAUUAUAUGAUAGAAUCUGAAAAAUGAUAAAGCUUACCGAAAAAUUGGGUCUCAAGACUGGGUUCGACCCCCCUCAUAUUUAGACCUUAAUUUGUCCCCAUUUGCUACAAACUCCAAAUUUUGCACAAACAUUCUCCAACAUAGUGGAAUGCCAUUGGUCAUAAAGCUGACCAAAAAUUUGGGUCUCUUGGCCUGGUCAGACCGCGUUUCGCCUCAUAUCCCUAUUUUAAAGAGCUUUUAGAGGGUGAAAAAAACCCAGUGACUACAAAGGCCAAACUCAAUAUUUGUGUUCUAUACUAACUGUGUAUAAAUGGUCGAGCUUACUAAAAAAUGCGGUCCUAUCAGCAGGUCAGACAAAGAUCUGAUUAGACCUCAAAUUAGACCUCAUAAGGUACAAACUCAAAAUUUUGUAAGACUAUUCCUUUGUUCACACGAAUUGGAUUUGGCAAAUAGAAAACCAAAAAUUACGGUCUCUUGAUCAGGUCAGACAAUAGUUAGCGAUAUCAAAUAAAAAAAGAAAUGUUCUUAAAGCAUCUAAUAAAAUAUAAAUAUGUACAACAGGUUAUAGCAGCAUGAUUGGUAUUGUUCUGCAUCAGUAUCUAAAGAUGAGAAAUGUCAUUCAGUCAUAAGAUCUAGUUUAAAUGAAAUACAAUAUUAAAAUUUUUUAAAAAGUUACUCAAUUCUAGAAUAUAUGACAUUGAAUCCUAUUCUGUAAUAGUUUCGUUAGAUCACACAAAAAGAAUUCUAACCUUAAAUUAUCAUUACACCUUCGUCGCUAGUUUCGUCAUCAUUGUCUGAAUCGUCAUCACUUGACAGUUCAUCAAACCCUUCAAAAUCUUAAGGAGAAUGAAAUACUUUUAAUAUUUAAAGUAGCGGCGGAAGUAGCGGAAAUAAAGCAUUGCCUCCGAGUAAUAAUUAAGAAACUAAAUGACUUGUAAAAUUUGAUAUCCAAAAUUUACCUUCUAGUUCUCUAAAGAAUCUAUUAUGAUUUUCAUCGCUGAUGACAUCUACCGCUUUUGGAGACAUUUUGCCUUUGUACCACUUAAUGAGAUAGUUUUCAUUUUUCAGCAGCCAACCCAUGUCUUUGAAGGCUCGGACGUUAUUGAUGACAUCCAUAACUGUGCAACAUACUUUGUGCGAUAAAUCUUUUGACGCUACACUCGUAAACAAGGUGGUGGAGAACUUCCAUCAAACUUUUUAACACAGGAGCUUUAUUUUCUUUUUUUGGUUUCUACUUUUCCAAAAACAAUACCAACCUAGCUUCAUCUACAGAUGAUAUAUUCCUUUUUCAAUACGUGCUGCAUACAAAUUUUCCCAACGUUGCAAAAGCGUCAUCUGUGACAUGAAGAUUUGUUCCUAGCUGUUUAAAUACAUCUUGCACACUUUCAUUUUUUCUAGAAGUUUGAAAGGUCGGUUGAAGUUUCAACAAAAAUGUCAAAGUUGUCGAAUGCAACGCCUAUUCCAAGACUUGACAUUAGUUUCAUACCAUGUGGUGUGGCAUUCCCGGCCUUUGUUGAUGUAAAAGUUAAUACUAUUUCUAGUUCUUCGAUCAUGCUAUAGCUAAUAGUGUCCAAGUCUAUUUAACAUUUCGAUCACUUUUGUGCAUCCUGUAAUGCUUUUCACUGCCAAACUGCAAAUAAUAUAAUAUGCAAAACAACAAAACGUUAAUAUGAAGAUAUAUUGUAACUCUUCUGUAAAUAACGUAAAAAUACAGUUAAUAUUAUUAGAACGUAAAAAUGUACAAAGGAAUUAAUAUUUACAAGACUUCAACAUAAUCUAACAAGUGUGUAAAUCAAAGAAGGUCUCAUUUACAAUAAAGCAUCUUCAACUUACCAUCACUGUCAGUAUUUCCAUUUGCAUUUAAAUCUUCAUCUACAGUAGCUACAACAUUUGCAAAAUAUCACAAUAAUAACUUGUUAUUGGUUAUCUUAAAUUGAUAUAUUCUAAUUAAUUAUGUUUUCCUCCUACCAUCGCUUUCAUUGAUCUUAUUGAAUAUUUCUUUGUUGGAAAAUUCUACGAAAUGAGAAAUUAAAUCAAUGAAGUAAAAAUUGACCAAGUAUGUGUUUAAAAAAUUUAGUUCAACAACAGACUGUUAAAAAAUUUUCUGACUUAUCAUCCAAAACUGACUACAACUUGAAGUAACUAAAAACUUGAAAUAAUUACAUAUAUUUUUACCUGAUGUCAUAUCUUCUAUCUAUCAAAUCGUAUCUACAGUUUCAAAUUUUCUAUUUUUUAUAGUCUAUAAAUAUGCAAAUAUCCCGGUAAUUUGUUCACGUUUUUACUUCACUUACUUCAAAAUAACUGCGUCUCUAACUUUUUCUUCCACUGUCUGGUAUUACAUAUUUAGUAUAGAACACAAAUGUUGAGUUUGAGCUUUGUAGUCACUGUUUUUUUUUUACUCUCCAAAAGCUGUUUAAAAUAGGGAUAUGGUGGGACACGUGGUCUGACUAGGCCAAAAAAUUUUUGGUCAGCUUUAUGACCAAUAACAUUCCACUAUGUUAGAGAAUGUUUGUGCAAAGUUUGGAGUUUGGAGUUUGUAGCUUAUGGGGACAAAUUAAGGUCCUAAAUAUGAUCUAUGAGGGGGAUCUGGCCUAGUCUUAGACACAAUUUUUUAGUGAGCUUUAUCAUCUUUCAGAUUCUCUCAUAUAAUGACACACGUUACCAACGUUUAAGCUUUAAGAAUUAUGGGACCAAAUAGGAGUCUCGAAUUAGGGUAAUUUUAGGGGCCUGGGACCCAAACGCCCCCAAAUUGGGUCAGCUGACCAUGUGAUUUUUAUUGUCCAUGAUACUACCAACCUAUUUGGAGGGUCAAAUCUUUUGUAGAAAAUGGAACCUAAAGUUCUGUUAUGAUCUCCUGGACUAUUACUGCUUGUAUCGUUCGUUGAUAAGAUUACAGACAUACGAUUUCGCAACUCUUGUGUCUGACAAGUAAGAAAUUAACAGCGAUGUAGAAAGUGACGAGGCUUCUUUUACUGACGCAGAACUCAACACUGUUAAUACAAAUUGGUGUGAGUGUGGAAAUUGUAGAUCACGAAAACACAAACUUAAAGUGUGUGCUGUAUGGAAACAACGGAAUUCCUGAUGAGUUUUUUCAAAGUAGAAGAACAGAUAUACAAUUUUUCUUUAUCUUCUGCAUCUUUCUUUAUUAAUAAAUAUUUUAUCGCUUUCCUUGUUAGCUGCAUUCUUUUCGUCAAAAACUUUAUGUUUUGCUUCAAUAAAAUAAUCCUUCAUCGCUUCUCUCUGACUUCACAAGCCAAUUUAUAUUUAUUUUAUUCAACAAUAUCAAUUGCAUGUUUGAAAGAUCGAAUGUUCGUUCCAAAUGAUAAGUUAGAAAAAACUGUGGGUAUAAAUGUUGUAUAAUUAUAAAUCACCCUUUUUAUUAUUAUAGGUCACAAAUGCGUUACAGAAGCUGCUAAUUUUUAAGUAGAAUCCGGCAUUAAAGCCAGCUAGAUAACUUAUUAAGAUUUCGGAUUAAAUGCGAGAUCUUAUGAAAACGGGCGGUCUUUUUCUUCUCCUCCUUUUCUUCUUCUCUUUCGACCUAUUUUUUAUCCGAUUGCCGUAACCGUCACGACUUUUUAAAGUCCGACCUGGCCCCGCGUCCUAGCUCUACGCCGGCUGUGUGCGUAUCUUAAUAUUCGUAAAAUUGGGUAAGCAUGAAGACUGCGUUACGAAUUUGAUCACAAAUAUUGUUAUAGACUGUUAUUUUAAUAUUAUUUGAUGAGCUAUGCUAGAUACUCAUUCAAAUUCUCGUUUCAAGUUAUGUUUUUAACAAGGCGGAUUUUGUUCAACUAAACCGAACUCUAGGGGUUAAGGUACGAGUCGUUUCUUUCGAGGGACCGAGUUUAAGCACUCCAUAUUGAUUAUACUCAAGCUUGUUCACCAAGCUGCGAAGCUAAGUUUUUUAAAGCGAAGAGAAAGGUUGGGUUAGUAUAAUUAUUUAACUUUCUAAAUUUCAGUUCUAUCAACGUUUAAGACAACCUCGUCCCCAGGACUAUUUGCUUCUCAACGGCGCUGCGCUUUCUGAUAGUUCUAGCGAAAUAGCCCUGGAACAGGCUGGUCACCGUAUCGCAUCUGAUUGGCCCACGGCGUUACCCUAAUUAUGCAACGCUUUUAGCUGGCGUCAGCAAAAAUCCUAAAAGUGAUACAUAAACAAAUAUGGCACCGGAAGAUGUGGCGUCGUUGUUGUUGGUGGUUUUAAAUCCUUAAAAAGCAUUAUUUUUCCUUUUUAAUCUCAUUUCCUCCACCUUUU
Molecule: long non-coding RNA, 18797 nt
Organism: Hydractinia symbiolongicarpus
Lineage: Eukaryota; Metazoa; Cnidaria; Hydrozoa; Anthoathecata; Hydractiniidae
Exons: 2
Source: RefSeq, a predicted model, not a curated record